This is a long non-coding RNA of Sinocyclocheilus grahami, 87 nucleotides long. RefSeq lists it as uncharacterized. Lineage: Eukaryota; Metazoa; Chordata; Actinopteri; Cypriniformes; Cyprinidae. The record is from RefSeq and is a predicted model, not a curated record. The transcript has 3 exons.
GUGUGCUUUCCGAUCUGUGCAUUAUGGGUAUUUGUUUAGAGUUGAUUUAUGUGUUAAUUAAGCAAGAUGGUUGGGUUUUUGCGUUAG